Molecule: RNA transcript, 1389 nt
Organism: Mauremys reevesii (Reeves's turtle)
Lineage: Eukaryota; Metazoa; Chordata; Testudines; Geoemydidae
Gene name: maestro heat-like repeat family member 5
Exons: 9
Source: RefSeq, a predicted model, not a curated record
AGACGUCGUGGGACGUAUCUUAAUCUGGCUGGACAACGUCUGUCAUCCCAGAGCCAGAAAAGCAGCACUGAGGGCCACGGCCUUGCUGGCUCGUUCCCACCCCCAGGACGUGGUUCUGAGCUGUGUGGCACACACGCUGUCCUCGGACAGAUGUGCCAUUGAGCUGUGGAAGGCCCUGGGGGAAGAACCACAGCUCCCCAGGGAGGUGCUGCAGCAGCUGCUGGACAAGCUCCAGCAGAGACGCCGGGAGGAGAAGAGCAGCAAUGUGUCUCUGGCUCACGAAACAGUCAGUGGAGGCUGUGAAGACUCUUUUCUCCAUGCCCGGAUACUGGAAGGAAUUUGCCAGCAUCCAAUUUCAGCAGGGCUGGGACAUGAUAGCCUCACGAUAUUACUACUCACAAGGUGUUGGCGUGAUUGCAAGAGCCAUGAUCGAGUUUGAGAACCCUCAGCUCCCUGCCGUCUUCAGAGAGGCCGUCACCACUGUUCAAAGGGAGAAGGAGGAGGAGCAGAGAAAUAUCGCCAUGACUUUCUGCACUGAGUUUCUCCAGAGUCCUUCCAUUGAGACAAUACUGACAAAAUCAGAGCUCCCGGCGCAGCUCAUGGAAUGGACCCAAGACAAAAAUCCCAUUGUACGUCGGCUCAGUCUGCGAGGCCUUGGCAGUAUUGUGCUCCAGCCAGAAAGGGUGCAAUUGUUAUGGGCCCAGCUGCCGGCGAUCAUGGACAUGUCCUGUGACAGGGAUGGAGGGCGUGUCAUGGGGGCCAUAUAUAAAGCUGGAGAUAUCAUCUACCUCCUCGACAGGGAGGGGCUUGGCUCCAUCUCCCAGGACAUUGCAAUCAGCCUUCACCCCUUCAUUGAUGACGAGAGGGGCAGUGUGCGCUCCGCUGCCAUUUUACUGCUUGGCAACUUGAUGAGCAGUGUGAAGGACCUGGACAAACCCAUCGUGCAGCAGGAAAUGAUCCACUGCUUGCUCCCGUUGGUGCUGGAUCUUGAAGACCAGGAUGAGAGUGUGACACUGAGAUGAACUGACUCUCUUCCGCUGCGCAGUGUUUCUCAGGUGGGCUCAUUUGAAGAUGCUGUUCCGCAGCAUGGCCUGGGAUGGCUCCACACAGCUCCUGAAGUGUGCCUGGAAGUGCUUGGCAGAUGCAGAACAACAAGAGCCACAUCCCCAAAUUCCUGUUCCACGCCUUAGAAUACCUGGAAAGCUCACAGACAACAAUCAGACAUUCUGCAGCCCUGUUCAUUGGUAAGCAGAGCGACUUCACUUGAGCUUUUUUGAACUGCUUCCUUCAAAGCCCUUUUCUAGACUGCUGCUCUGUUCCCUCUCACAGCACCAGAAUCCUGAAAGUAAGUGUGUGUGGCGCGUACGUGUGUGUGUUGUGCUCGGCACA